GGCGGGCCACGGUAAGAGGAGCACAAGCCUUCCAGCGGAUGAAAACCAUCCUUAGCACUGGGGUGACGAGAGAGGUGGAGAGAGGAAUGUUUGAAAGAGCUGAGGAGAGCAUGAAAGGGCACCUCCAGGACAUGCAGAAGCAGAUCCCCAGGAAGCUGGAGGAGGACUUUUCCAGCGCUCUCGGCUUGGUCUUUUGCCCGUGGGACCAGCUGGACGGCAAGCUGCCAGACUUGCAGAGAGAAUUUUU
This is a non-coding RNA of Anas platyrhynchos (mallard), 247 nucleotides long. The record is from RefSeq and is a predicted model, not a curated record. Lineage: Eukaryota; Metazoa; Chordata; Aves; Anseriformes; Anatidae.